Molecule: transfer RNA, 71 nt
Filed under: Bos taurus (domestic cattle)
Lineage: Eukaryota; Metazoa; Chordata; Mammalia; Artiodactyla; Bovidae
Also listed under: 5 other names
Rfam family: tRNA
About the family: Transfer RNA (tRNA) molecules are approximately 80 nucleotides in length. Their secondary structure includes four short double-helical elements and three loops (D, anti-codon, and T loops). Further hydrogen bonds mediate the characteristic L-shaped molecular structure. tRNAs have two regions of fundamental functional importance: the anti-codon, which is responsible for specific mRNA codon recognition, and the 3' end, to which the tRNAs corresponding amino acid is attached (by aminoacyl-tRNA synthetases). tRNAs cope with the degeneracy of the genetic code in two manners: having more than one tRNA (with a specific anti-codon) for a particular amino acid; and 'wobble' base-pairing, i.e. permitting non-standard base-pairing at the 3rd anti-codon position.
Source: Rfam by way of RNAcentral
UCCCUGGUGGCUCAGUGGUAAAGAACCUGCCUGCAAUGCAGGAGACACAGGUUCAAUCCCUGGAUUGGGAA